GACGAACGCUGGCGGCGUGCUUAACACAUGCAAGUCGAACGGAAAGGCCCUGCUUUUGUGGGGUGCUCGAGUGGCGAACGGGUGAGUAACACGUGAGUAACCUGCCCUUGACUUUGGGAUAACUUCAGGAAACUGGGGCUAAUACCGGAUAUGAGCUCCUGCUGCAUGGUGGGGGUUGGAAAGUUUUGGCGGUUGGGGUUGGACUCGCGGCUUAUCAGCUUGUUGGUGGGGGAGUGGCUUACCAAGGCGUUGACGGGUAGCCGGCCUGAGAGGGUGACCGGCCACAUUGGGACUGAGAUACGGCCCAGACUCCUACGGGAGGCAGCAGUGGGGAAUAUUGCACAAUGGGCGGAAGCCUGAUGCAGCGACGCCGCGUGCGGGAUGACGGCCUUCGGGUUGUAAACCGCUUUCGGCUGUGACGAAGCGUAAGUGACGGUACUGGCUAAAGAAGCACCGGCUAACUACGUG
Molecule: ribosomal RNA, 468 nt
Filed under: uncultured bacterium
Lineage: Bacteria
Description: partial 16S ribosomal RNA
Rfam family: Bacterial small subunit ribosomal RNA
Source: RNAcentral